This 696-nucleotide ribosomal RNA is filed under the name uncultured bacterium. Its description in RNAcentral is "bacterial SSU rRNA". It matches the Rfam family "Bacterial small subunit ribosomal RNA", at positions 67 to 750 of the family's 1533-position model. The record is from RNAcentral.
CGGCAGCACAGUAAGAGCUUGCUCUUAUGGGUGGCGAGUGGCGGACGGGUGAGGAAUACAUCGGAAUCUACCUUUUCGUGGGGGAUAACGUAGGGAAACUUACGCUAAUACCGCAUACGACCUUCGGGUGAAAGCAGGGGACCUUCGGGCCUUGCGCGGAUAGAUGAGCCGAUGUCGGAUUAGCUAGUUGGCGGGGUAAAGGCCCACCAAGGCGACGAUCCGUAGCUGGUCUGAGAGGAUGAUCAGCCACACUGGAACUGAGACACGGUCCAGACUCCUACGGGAGGCAGCAGUGGGGAAUAUUGGACAAUGGGCGCAAGCCUGAUCCAGCCAUACCGCGUGGGUGAAGAAGGCCUUCGGGUUGUAAAGCCCUCUUGUUGGGAAAGAAAAGCAGUCGGCUAAUACCCGGUUGUUCUGACGGUACCCAAAGAAUAAGCACCGGCUAACUUCGUGCCAGCAGCCGCGGUAAUACGAAGGGUGCAAGCGUUACUCGGAAUUACUGGGCGUAAAGCGUGCGUAGGUGGUUGUUUAAGUCUGUUGUGAAAGCCCUGGGCUCAACCUGGGAAUUGCAGUGGAUACUGGGCGACUAGAGUGUGGUAGAGGGUAGUGGAAUUCCCGGUGUAGCAGUGAAAUGCGUAGAGAUCGGGAGGAACAUCCAUGGCGAAGGCAGCUACCUGGACCAACACUGACACUGAG